AGUGAACGCUGGCGGUAGGCCUAACACAUGCAAGUCGAACGGCAGCACAGUAAGAGCUUGCUCUUACGGGUGGCGAGUGGCGGACGGGUGAGGAAUACAUCGGAAUCUACUUUUUCGUGGGGGUUAACGUAGGGAAACUUACGCUAAUACCGCAUACGACCUACGGUUGAAAGCAGGGGAUCUUCGGACCUUGCGCGAUUGAAUGAGCCGAUGUCGGAUUAGCUAGUUGGCGGGGUAAAGGCCCACCAAGGCGACGAUCCGUAGCUGGUCUGAGAGGAUGAUCAGCCACACUGGAACUGAGACACGGUCCAGACUCCUACGGGAGGCAGCAGUGGGGAAUAUUGGACAAUGGGCGCAAGCCUGAUCCAGCCAUACCGCGUGGGUGAAGAAGGCCUUCGGGUUGUAAAGCCCUUUUGUUGGGAAAGAAAAGCAGCAGGUUAAUACCCCGCUGUUCUGACGGUACCCAAAGAAUAAGCACCGGCUAACUUCGUG
Molecule: ribosomal RNA, 492 nt
Filed under: uncultured bacterium
Lineage: Bacteria
Description: partial 16S ribosomal RNA
Rfam family: Bacterial small subunit ribosomal RNA
Source: RNAcentral